Molecule: ribosomal RNA, 1579 nt
Filed under: Paramoebidium sp. RMBL-71-3
Lineage: Eukaryota; Ichthyosporea; Ichthyophonida; Amoebidiaceae
Description: eukaryotic LSU rRNA
Rfam family: Eukaryotic large subunit ribosomal RNA
Source: RNAcentral
UUUUCAAGCUCCAUGGAGGAAAACCGCCAUGGCGCGUUGUAGACUAAAGGGGUGUUAUCUUGGGCAGGCCGAGUAUAGAUCCGUUGGAACACGGUAUCAUAGAGGGUGAGAAUCCCGUCUGUGACUCGGAUUUCUGUUCAUAUACGUUACGCUUCCAAAGAGUCGGGUUGUUUGGGAAUGCAGCCCAAAAUGGGUGGUAAAUUUCAUCUAAGGCUAAAUAUUGGCACGAGACCGAUAGCGAACAAGUACCAUGAGGGAAAGGUGAAAAGAACUUUGAAAAGAGAGUCAAAAAGUACGUGAAACCGUUAAAAGGGAAACGAAUGGAGCUAGCAUUUGUGCUUCUCACAAUCAGUCGGUAGGCAGGUCACUGGUGGUUCAGGCAGGGUCCGUCUCAUUCGUGGGGUGGCAUGUCUGGGUYGCUGUGGGGUCUGUUUGCCGGUGCACUUGUGGGGCGGCACAGGCCAACAUCAGUUUUGGAUGGCACAUAUAUGUCAGGGGAAGGUAGUUGCGGCGCUUCGGUGUCGUAAUGUUAUAACCCUUGGCAGGUGUGCUGGACGAGACUGAGGAGUAGCAGCGCGCAAAUCUUCGGAGUGUUACCGCUGGGGCUGCAGGUGCAGGGAGACUGUCUGCUUUCCACUUAACCGUGGGGGUAGGCAGUGCUUUGUGCCGUAAUUCAUUACGCCUUUCCAGUUCGCUGGAAGGGUGUGGUGGAGAUGAGCAGCCUUAUACGGGACCUACCCAGACCACGCGCUUGUGAUGUUGGCGAAAAAUGGCUUCAUCCGACCCGUCUUGAAACACGGACCAAGGAGUCUAACAUAUACGCGAGUCUUUGGGUUGAAAGCCCGCAGGCAUAAUGAAAGUAAAGGCAUACUCGGUGUGCUGAGGUGAGAAACCGUCGCCCYUCGGGGUGCGCGGAUGCAUCAUCGACCGAUCCGGAUGGCUCUGUCCUGAAAGAUUUGAGUAAGAGCGUAUCUGUUGGGACCCGAAAGAUGGUGAACUAUGCCUGAACAGGGUGAAGUCUGAGGAAACUCAGAUGGAAGCUCGUAGCGAUUCUGACGUGCAAAUCGAUCGUCUGAUUUGGGUAUAGGGGCGAAAGACUAAUCGAACUAUCUAGUAGCUGGUUCCCUCCGAAGUUUCCCUCAGGAUAGCUGGAACUAACGACAAAUGCAGUUUUAUCAGGUAAAGCGAAUGAUUAGAGGCCUUGGGGUUGAAAUAACCUCAACCUAUUCUCAAACUUUAAAUAGGUAAGAAGCCUGGCUUGCUUAAUUGAAGCCAGGCAAACUGAAUGCAAGUUUCAAGUGGGCCAUUUUUGGUAAGCAGAACUGGCGAUGCGGGAUGAACCGAACGCAAAGUUAAAGUGCCAAAGUUCACGCUCACCUAGAACCCAGAAAAGGUGUUGGCUGAUGAAGACAGCAGGACGGUGGCCAUGGAAGUCGGAACCCGCUAAGGAGUGUGUAACAACUCACCUGCCGAAUCAGCCAGCCCUGAAAAUGGAUGGCGCUCAAGCGUGACACUCAUACUUUGCCGUUGCUUUUUUUUUAUAACAAAGGAUCGCAACGAGUAGGAGGGCGUGGAGGUC